This is a long non-coding RNA of Mauremys reevesii (Reeves's turtle), 398 nucleotides long. RefSeq lists it as uncharacterized. Lineage: Eukaryota; Metazoa; Chordata; Testudines; Geoemydidae. The record is from RefSeq and is a predicted model, not a curated record. The transcript is spliced from 3 exons.
CAAGUUCCAACAGCAGGGGGAAACCCAUCCAUCCAGAUAUUCAAAUAACUAAUAGUAGGAAGGUGUCAGUCCUAGUGAAAAUCCAUCUGGAUAACAGUCACUGACUCAGAGAGUCAUCAAGAUAUAAAGGAUGAAAGCAGAAAGACAAGAAACAAAGUCUUACGUGACCAAAUGAAAAGAGAGUUUGCUUAAAGCAGUACUACCCUAGGGAAAAUGGUCUAUUAAACACAGCAGAUAAGACAGAAGAUCUUACGUAGAUGCAAGUGGCUUCUUAUAGCACCUAAUAAAAACAUUAAGAAAAAAAACACAACACAGCAAAAAUAAGCAGUAUAACUCAUAUCCUGUUUGGACAAGAGCUUUCAUAGGGUAAAGUCUGCAGUGGGCAUCUUGAGAUACAG